ACGAGUGGCGCACGGGUGCGUAACGCGUAUGCAACCUACCCUUUACUGGGGGAUAGCCCGGAGAAAUUCGGAUUAAUACCCCAUGGUACUAUAAUAGAGCAUUAUAUAAUAGUUAAAGAUCUAUUGGUAAAGGAUGGGCAUGCGUGACAUUAGUUAGUUGGUAAGGUAACGGCUUACCAAGACGAUGAUGUCUAGGGGUUCUGAGAGGAAGGUCCCCCACACUGGUACUGAGACACGGACCAG
Molecule: ribosomal RNA, 243 nt
Filed under: uncultured bacterium
Lineage: Bacteria
Description: partial 16S ribosomal RNA
Rfam family: Bacterial small subunit ribosomal RNA
Source: RNAcentral